This 379-nucleotide unclassified non-coding RNA is filed under the name Hevea brasiliensis (rubber tree). Lineage: Eukaryota; Viridiplantae; Streptophyta; Magnoliopsida; Malpighiales; Euphorbiaceae. The record is from RNAcentral.
UUGAAUUCAAUGCUCUUUGCAACAGUCACGCCGUCCUUUGUCACUUUGGGGGCACCAAAACUUUGUUCAAUUACCACAUUGCGCCCCUUAGGACCCAUGGUAACUUGCACAGCAUCAGCAAGCGCUUCGACACCCUUAAGCAUUAAAGCACGGGCUUCCACACCAAAUUUGAUGUCUUUGGCCGCAUAGUUUCUACUCCAACUCAGUCUACUUCCAAUCUGAUGAGUGCUGUUCCUAGCGAUUCGAGCUCUAGAUGCGAUGCUAGAGGCGAAACGAUACAUGGUGUGCAAACUGCAGAGAAAGGAGAGUUCUUGGACUGGGAAAUGAGGAAGGCGAGUGAAUUAACAAAGCAGAGCGUGCCAGUACGAGUUUGUCAAGG